Molecule: non-coding RNA, 133 nt
Organism: Triticum aestivum (bread wheat)
Lineage: Eukaryota; Viridiplantae; Streptophyta; Magnoliopsida; Poales; Poaceae
Source: Rfam
UAGAUACUCCCUCCGUCCCAAAAUUCUUGUCUUAGACUUUUCUAAAUACGGAUGUAUCUAGUUAUGUUUUAAUGCUAGAUACAUCCGUAUCUAGACAAAUCUAAGACAAGAAUUUUGGGACGGAGGGUACCAU